RNAcentral lists this transfer RNA (77 nucleotides) under Acidobacteriota bacterium. RNAcentral describes it as "Acidobacteria bacterium (activated sludge metagenome) tRNA-Asn". It matches the Rfam family "tRNA". Rfam says of the family: Transfer RNA (tRNA) molecules are approximately 80 nucleotides in length. Their secondary structure includes four short double-helical elements and three loops (D, anti-codon, and T loops). The record is from RNAcentral. Lineage: Bacteria; Pseudomonadati; Acidobacteriota.
UGACAGGUAACUCAGUUGGUCAGAGUGCCGUUCUGUUAAAUCGGAAGCCGCGGGUUCGAGUCCCGCCCUGUCAGCCA